Long non-coding RNA from Hippocampus comes (tiger tail seahorse), 203 nucleotides. RefSeq lists it as uncharacterized. The transcript is spliced from 2 exons. The record is from RefSeq and is a predicted model, not a curated record. Lineage: Eukaryota; Metazoa; Chordata; Actinopteri; Syngnathiformes; Syngnathidae.
GGAGAAGACGACGACGAAAAGGGCACGGCUGGAGUCGCAAGCCCAAGAAGACCAGCAGGCAGGCCCAGCAACUGCCACCAGCAGCACCGUCUCAGAAAGCUUCAUGCACAGGUUGGCUCAGGAUUGUGACUCAAUAGGCACAAAGGAUGAUGAUGGACUCAGGGAGGCAGACUGAGGAACAAAACAAAAACAAAAACAAACAA